RNAcentral lists this ribosomal RNA (254 nucleotides) under uncultured bacterium. RNAcentral's name for it is "partial 16S ribosomal RNA". It matches the Rfam family "Bacterial small subunit ribosomal RNA", at positions 527 to 779 of the family's 1533-position model. The record is from RNAcentral.
CGGAGGUGCAAGCGUUAAUCGGAAUUACUGGGCGUAAAGCGCACGCAGGCGGUUGUUAAGUCAGAUGUGAAAUCCCCGGGCGUCAACCUGGGAACGUGCAUCUGAUACUGGCAAGCUUGAGUCUCGUAGAGGGGGUAGGAAUUCCAGGUGUAGCGGUGAAAUGCGUAGAGAUCUGGAGGAAUACCGGUGGCGAAGGCGGCCCCCUCGGACGAAGACUGACGCUCAGGUGCGAAAGCGUGGGAGCAAACAGGAUU